GUGGAUUAGAUACCCUGGUAGUCCACGCCGUAAACGAUGUCGACUAGCCGUUGGGCCCUUUUAGGGUUUAGUGGCGCAGCUAACGCAUUAAGUCGACCGCCUGGGGAGUACGGCCGCAAGGUUAAAACUCAAAUGAAUUGACGGGGGCCCGCACAAGCGGUGGAGCAUGUGGUUUAAUUCGAUGCAACGCGAAGAACCUUACCUACCCUUGACAUCCAGAGAAUCUGUUAGAGAUAGUGGAGUGCCUUCGGGAACUCUGAGACAGGUGCUGCACGGCCGUCGCCAACU
RNAcentral lists this ribosomal RNA (288 nucleotides) under uncultured bacterium. RNAcentral's name for it is "partial 16S ribosomal RNA". It matches the Rfam family "Bacterial small subunit ribosomal RNA", at positions 773 to 1060 of the family's 1533-position model. The record is from RNAcentral.